GACGAACGCUGGCGGCGUGCUUAACACAUGCAAGUCGAACGCUGAAGCUUGGUGCUUGCACUGGGUGGAUGAGUGGCGAACGGGUGAGUAAUACGUGAGUAACCUGCCCUUGACUCUGGGAUAAGCCUGGGAGACUGGGUCUAAUACUGGAUACGACAUGCCACUGCAUGGUGGUGUGUGGAAAGGGUUUUACUGGUUUUGGAUGGGCUCACGGCCUAUCAGCUUGUUGGUGGGGUAAUGGCCUACCAAGGCGACGACGGGUAGCCGGCCUGAGAGGGUGACCGGCCACACUGGGACUGAGACACGGCCCAGACUCCUACGGGAGGCAGCAGUGGGGAAUAUUGCACAAUGGGCGGAAGCCUGAUGCAGCGACGCCGCGUGAGGGAUGACGGCCUUCGGGUUGUAAACCUCUUUCAGCACGGAAGAAGCGAGAGUGACGGUACGUGCAGAAGAAGCGCCGGCUAACUACGUG
Molecule: ribosomal RNA, 472 nt
Filed under: uncultured bacterium
Lineage: Bacteria
Description: partial 16S ribosomal RNA
Rfam family: Bacterial small subunit ribosomal RNA
Source: RNAcentral